RNAcentral lists this ribosomal RNA (264 nucleotides) under uncultured bacterium. RNAcentral's name for it is "partial 16S ribosomal RNA". It matches the Rfam family "Bacterial small subunit ribosomal RNA", at positions 92 to 354 of the family's 1533-position model. The record is from RNAcentral.
CUUAGUGCGGACGGGUGAGUAACGCGUGGGGAACCUGCCCUGUACAGGGGGAGUAACACUUAGAAAUAGGUGCUAAUACCGCAUAAGCGCACAGUAUCGCAUGAUACAGUGUGAAAAACUCCCGGUGGUACAGGAUGGACCCGCGUCUGAUUAGCUGGUUGGCGGGGUAACGGCCCACCAAGGCGACGAUCAGUAGCCGGCCUGAGAGGGUGAACGGCCACAUUGGGACUGAGACACGGCCCAAACUCCUACGGAAGGCAGCAG